GCGCGCCCUGUCACGGCGGAGG
Molecule: transfer RNA, 22 nt
Filed under: Micrococcus luteus
Lineage: Bacteria; Bacillati; Actinomycetota; Actinomycetes; Micrococcales; Micrococcaceae
Description: tRNA-Ala
Source: RNAcentral